AGGGUAGUAAAACGCUGCAGACUUGGUGUUGGAAGUCCUUUGGGGGGCAUUCAGUGCCGGAGAGAAGUUGUUAAGUCUGCUACUUGGGGGAGUACGUCCGCAAAGGAUGAAACUUAAAGGAAUUGGCGGGGGAGCACCGCAACGGGAGGAGCGUGCGGUUUAAUUGGAUUCAACGCCGAAAAAACUCACCAGCAGCGACUGUUACAUGAAAGUCAGGUUGAUGACCUUACUAGAUUUUUCAGAGAGGAGGUGCAUGGCGUCAGUGA
RNAcentral lists this ribosomal RNA (266 nucleotides) under uncultured archaeon. RNAcentral's name for it is "partial 16S ribosomal RNA". It matches the Rfam family "Archaeal small subunit ribosomal RNA", at positions 747 to 1006 of the family's 1478-position model. The record is from RNAcentral.